UCCGCGCUCAAAGAAUCGCAUUCGAAGCCUACGCGUAGCGUCCGCCCUCGUGGCAAGAUGCAUGCCCUCCUCGCUUCGGGAGAAAGUCCCCGGACCACCUGUACUCUGUGCAGGACUUGCCGCAAGGCGCCGCCAUAAAAGCAUACCCAACGCGGCUUACACUCGCCGUCUCUCCGCACGGCACCUUUUCUCCAUACCCUCGAUCCGACCUCGAUGCCGUUCGCAUGCCCUCGACGAAACCUGCGUGGUGAAGAGCAGAGUGGAAGGGCGGAUGGAUGAAGAUACGAGUCCGUCAACACUUCGGUGGCCUGGAAGCCUGGUUGGAACUCGUAGGUGGACGUGAGGGGAGAGGUCUUGAGGGUGCCAGUUAGGUCCGAGGCUGGAGUGGUGCUGGAGGCGACGGUUGCGCGAUUCGUCGAAGAUGAAUAGUUAUGCGAUUGUCUCUGCGUGAGAUAACUCGAUGGGGCUUAUUCUUGAGGCGCGG
Molecule: RNase MRP RNA, 484 nt
Filed under: Cyphellophora europaea CBS 101466
Lineage: Eukaryota; Fungi; Ascomycota; Eurotiomycetes; Chaetothyriales; Cyphellophoraceae
Description: RNase MRP
Rfam family: RNase MRP
About the family: RNase MRP is an enzymatically active ribonucleoprotein with two distinct roles in eukaryotes.
Source: Rfam by way of RNAcentral